This 497-nucleotide ribosomal RNA is filed under the name uncultured bacterium. Its description in RNAcentral is "partial 16S ribosomal RNA". It matches the Rfam family "Bacterial small subunit ribosomal RNA", at positions 28 to 507 of the family's 1533-position model. The record is from RNAcentral.
GAUGAACGCUGGCGGCGUGCCUAAUACAUGCAAGUCGAGCGAACAGACGAGGAGCUUGCUCCUCUGACGUUAGCGGCGGACGGGUGAGUAACACGUGGAUAACCUACCUAUAAGACUGGGAUAACUUCGGGAAACCGGAGCUAAUACCGGAUAAUAUAUUGAACCGCAUGGUUCAAUAGUGAAAGACGGUUUUGCUGUCACUUAUAGAUGGAUCCGCGCCGCAUUAGCUAGUUGGUAAGGUAACGGCUUACCAAGGCAACGAUGCGUAGCCGACCUGAGAGGGUCAUCGGCCACACUGGCACUGAGACACGGUCCAGACUCCUACGGGAGGCAGCAGUAGGGACUCUUCCGCAAUGGGCGAGAGCCUGACGGAGCAACGCCGCGUGAGUGAUGACGGUCUUCGGAUCCUAAAACUCUGUUAUUAGGGAAGAACAAAUGUGUAAGUAACUAUGCACGUCUUGACGGUACCUAAUCAGAAAGCCACGGCUAACUACGUG